Molecule: ribosomal RNA, 521 nt
Filed under: uncultured bacterium
Lineage: Bacteria
Description: bacterial SSU rRNA
Rfam family: Bacterial small subunit ribosomal RNA
Source: RNAcentral
AGGGUUCGAUUCUGGCUCAGGAUGAACGCUAGCUACAGGCUUAACACAUGCAAGUCGAGGGGCAGCAUUAAGUCAGCUUGCUGAUUAGAUGGCGACCGGCGCACGGGUGAGUAACGCGUAUCCAACCUGCCCCUACCCGGGGAUAGCCUUGCGAAAGUAAGAUUAAUACCCGGUGCUGUUGCGAUCCCGCAUGGGGAUGCAACGAAAGAUUCAUCGGUAGGGGAUGGGGAUGCGUCCGAUUAGCUUGUUGGCGGGGUAACGGCCCACCAAGGCGACGAUCGGUAGGGGUUCUGAGAGGAAGGUCCCCCACAUUGGAACUGAGACACGGUCCAAACUCCUACGGGAGGCAGCAGUGAGGAAUAUUGGUCAAUGGGCGAGAGCCUGAACCAGCCAAAAGUAGCGUGAAGGAAGACUGCCCUACGGGUUGUAAACUUCUUUUGUACGGGAAUAAAGUGAGGCUCGUGAGCCUUUUUGCAUGUACCGUACGAAUAAGGACCGGCUAAUUCCGUGCCAGCCGCCGC